CCUACGGGUGGCUGCAGUGGGGAAUAUUGCACAAUGGGCGCAAGCCUGAUGCAGCCAUGCCGCGUGUGUGAAGAAGGCCUUCGGGUUGUAAAGCACUUUCAGCGGGGAGGAAGGCGUUAAGGUUAAUAACCUUGGCGAUUGACGUUACCCGCAGAAGAAGCACCGGCUAACUCCGUGCCAGCAGCCGCGGUAAUACGGAGGGUGCAAGCGUUAAUCGGAAUUACUGGGCGUAAAGCGCACGCAGGCGGUCUGUCAAGUCGGAUGUGAAAUCCCCGGGCUCAACCUGGGAACUGCAUUCGAAACUGGCAGGCUAGAGGCUUGUAGAGGGGGGUAGAAUUCCAGGGGUAGCGGUGAAAUGCGUAGAGAUCUGGAGGAAUACCGGUGGCGAAGGCGGCCCCCUGGACAAAGACUGACGCGCAGGUGCGAAAGCGUGGGGAGCAAACAGGAUUAGAUACCCGGGUAGUC
RNAcentral lists this ribosomal RNA (465 nucleotides) under uncultured Klebsiella sp. RNAcentral's name for it is "bacterial SSU rRNA". It matches the Rfam family "Bacterial small subunit ribosomal RNA", at positions 338 to 795 of the family's 1533-position model. Lineage: Bacteria; Pseudomonadati; Pseudomonadota; Gammaproteobacteria; Enterobacterales; Enterobacteriaceae. The record is from RNAcentral.